RNAcentral lists this unclassified non-coding RNA (345 nucleotides) under soil metagenome. RNAcentral's name for it is "partial contains 5.8S ribosomal RNA, internal transcribed spacer 2, and large subunit ribosomal RNA". The stretch from base 1 to 120 matches the Rfam family "5.8S ribosomal RNA", at positions 35 to 154 of the family's 154-position model. The record is from RNAcentral.
GAUGAAGAACGUAGCGAAAUGCGAUACGUAAUGUGAAUUGCAGAAUUCAGUGAAUCAUCGAGUCUUUGAACGCACAUUGCGCCCCCUGGUAUUCCGGGGGGCAUGCCUGUCCGAGCGUCAUUGCAGCCCUCAAGCACGGCUUGUGUGUUGGGCCUCCGUCCUCCUCCCGGGGGACGGGCCCGAAAGGCAGCGGCGGCACCGCGUCCGGUCCUCGAGCGUAUGGGGCUUCGUCACCCGCUCUUGUAGGCCCGGCCGGCGCUUGCCGACACAUCAAUCUUUUUUCCAGGUUGACCUCGGAUCAGGUAGGGAUACCCGCUGAACUUAAGCAUAUCAGUAAGCGGAGGA